RNAcentral lists this small RNA (338 nucleotides) under Pan troglodytes (chimpanzee). Its description in RNAcentral is "processed transcript". Lineage: Eukaryota; Metazoa; Chordata; Mammalia; Primates; Hominidae. The record is from RNAcentral.
AGCGCAGUUCCACUGAGACCAGCCAUGGAAGGGUCUUGCUGUGUUGCUCGGGCUGGUCUUGAACUCCUGGGCUCAAACAGUCCUCCUGCCUCAGCCUCCCAACGUGCUGGGAUUACGGGAGCAAGCCACCCCACUGUGUGCAGCCCAGAAGUUGAGCCUGAGAGGCACUGUGAGCAGCAGUUGCUAUCACACGGGCGGAUCAGAACAUGAAGAAUGGAGCUAAAUAGAGCUGUCUGCAUGCUGUUCUGAUGGGCUCAGGCUCAGCCUCAGAGAAUAGGUGGAUUGGAGCCUGUGAUGGGGGCUCUUUCCCCCACCAGAGUGGGUGAAAGCAGGGAGGA